This 301-nucleotide ribosomal RNA is filed under the name uncultured bacterium. Its description in RNAcentral is "partial 16S ribosomal RNA". It matches the Rfam family "Bacterial small subunit ribosomal RNA", at positions 509 to 807 of the family's 1533-position model. The record is from RNAcentral.
CAGUAGCCGCGGGAAUACAGAGGAUGCAAGCGUUAUCCGGAAUGAUUGGGCGUAAAGCGUCUGUAGGUGGCUUUUCAAGUCCGCCGUCAAAUCCCAGGGCUCAACCCUGGACAGGCGGUGGAAACUACCAAGCUGGAGUACGGUAGGGGCAAAGGGAAUUUCCUGUGGAGCGGUGAAAUGCGUUGAGAUCGGAAAGAACACCAACGGCGAAAGCACUCUGCUGGGCCGACACUGACACUGAGAGACGAAAGCUAGGGGAGCAAAUGGGAUUAGAGACCCCCGUAGUCCCUGUCUCUUAUAC